This 119-nucleotide ribosomal RNA is filed under the name Pteropus alecto (black flying fox). The record is from RNAcentral. Lineage: Eukaryota; Metazoa; Chordata; Mammalia; Chiroptera; Pteropodidae.
GUCUACAGCCAUGCUACCCUGAACAAGCCCGAUCCCGUCUGAUCUCAGAAGCUAAGCAGGGUCGGGCCUGGUUAGUACUUGGAUGGGAGACCACUUAGGAAGACCAGGUGCUGCAGGCG